This 253-nucleotide ribosomal RNA is filed under the name uncultured bacterium. RNAcentral's name for it is "partial 16S ribosomal RNA". It matches the Rfam family "Bacterial small subunit ribosomal RNA", at positions 524 to 776 of the family's 1533-position model. The record is from RNAcentral.
UACGUAGGGUGCAGGCGUUAAUCGGAAUUACUGGGCGUAAAGCGUGCGCAGGCGGUUUCUUAAGUCAGAUGUGAAAGCCCCGGGCUUAACCUGGGAACUGCGUUUGAAACUGGGAGACUUGAGUGUGGCAGAGGGGGGUGGAAUUCCACGUGUAGCAGUGAAAUGCGUAGAUAUGUAGAGGAACACCGAUGGCGAAGGCAGCCCCCUGGGUUAACACUGACGCUCAUGCACGAAAGCGUGGGGAGCAAACAGG